GCAGUUAAAACGCUCGUAGUCGGGUUUCGGGUCGGGCCGAGCGGUCUGCCGAUGGGUAUGCACUGUUUGGCGCGGCCUUCUUUCCGGAGACCGCGGCUACUCUUAACUGAGCGGGCGUGGGAGACGGAUCGUUUACUUUGAAAAAAUCAGAGUGUUUCAAGCAGGCAGCUCGCUCUUGCAUGGUACAGCAUGGGAUGAUUGAAUAGGACUCCGGUGCUAUUUUGUUGGUUUCGAACACCAGGAGUAAUGAUUAACAGGGACAGUCAGGGGCACUCGUAUUCCGUCGAGAGAGGUGAAAUUCUCAGACCAAUGGAAGACGAACCACUGCGAAAGCAUUUGCCAGGGAUGUUUUCACUGAUCAAGAACGAAAGUUAGGGGAUCGAAGACGAUCAGAUACCGUCGUAGUCUUAACCAUAAACCAUGCCGACUAGGGAUUGGAGGGUGUUCGUUUCGACCUCUUCAGCACCUUACGGGAAACUAAAGUCUUUGGGUUCCGGGGGGAGUAUGGUCGCAAGGCUGAAACUUAAAGGAAUUGACGGAAGGGCACCACCAGGAGUGGAGCCUGCGGCUUAAUUUGACUCAACACGGGGAAACUUACCAGGUCCAGACAUUGUUAGGAUUGACAGAUUGAGAGCUCUUUCUUGAUUCGAUGGGUGGUGGUGCAUGGCCGUUCUUAGUUGGUGGAGUGAUUUGUCUGGUUAAUUCCGAUAACGAACGAGACCGUAGCCUGCUAAAUAGUCCCGCGAACUUCUUGUUGGCGGCCGACUUCUUAGAGGGACAACUUGUGACCAACAAGUGGAAGUUUGCGGCAAUAACAGGUCUGUGAUGCCCUUAGAUGUUCUGGGCCGCACGCGCGCUACACUGAAGCACUCAACGAGUCCACCUCGACCGACAGGUCUGGGAAACCUUUUGAAAUUGCUUCGUGAUGGGGAUAGAUUAUUGCAACUAUUAAUCUUCAACGAGGAAUUCCUAGUAAGCGCAUGUCAUCAGCGUGCGUUGAUUACGUCCCUGCCCUUUGU
This 1019-nucleotide ribosomal RNA is filed under the name Phaeocystis globosa. RNAcentral describes it as "SSU rRNA". It matches the Rfam family "Eukaryotic small subunit ribosomal RNA", at positions 615 to 1663 of the family's 1831-position model. The record is from RNAcentral. Lineage: Eukaryota; Haptophyta; Phaeocystales; Phaeocystaceae.